RNAcentral lists this ribosomal RNA (253 nucleotides) under uncultured bacterium. Its description in RNAcentral is "partial 16S ribosomal RNA". It matches the Rfam family "Bacterial small subunit ribosomal RNA", at positions 524 to 776 of the family's 1533-position model. The record is from RNAcentral.
UACGUAGGGUGCGAGCGUUAAUCGGAAUUACUGGGCGUAAAGCGUGCGCAGGCGGAUGAUUAAGUUAGGUGUGAAAUCCCCGGGCUCAACCUGGGAAUAGCUUUUAAGACUGGUGAUCUAGAGUUUGUCAGAGGGGGGUGGAAUUCCAAGUGUAGCAGUGAAAUGCGUAGAGAUUUGGAGGAACACCGAUGGCGAAGGCAGCCCCCUGGGAUAAAACUGACGCUCAUGCACGAAAGCGUGGGUAGCAAACAGG